RNAcentral lists this long non-coding RNA (480 nucleotides) under Homo sapiens (human). RNAcentral's name for it is "HSALNT0322049". Lineage: Eukaryota; Metazoa; Chordata; Mammalia; Primates; Hominidae. The record is from RNAcentral.
AUAUGUUCAAAGAUAAUACCGGAGGCUUAUUCUGGGAAGCGUUCUGCUCUUCCUCCGACAGCCACGCAGCGAGCUCACGAGGCAGCCUCCACACAUAAUGAAAGCAAACGCCACCAUAAAUCUCCCGCUCGGCGGAGGUCACUUCAGAAAAAUCGCCCGCUGCUCAGAUAAGCACCAGCUUUGCUGAGGAACAUGGAAGGGGGAAAACACCGACUGUGAUAAACACCAGCAGGAUGACUGGAGUCCGCUGGAACCUGGAAUGGAGUUUUCUGACAGCAAAGGAUUACAGGAGCGUAACAGAAAUUAUGGAGAUUUCCCCGCUAGGCAUAAGGAUGCGAUCACUGUAGGCACCUGUGGGCCCAAGCAGGUUACCCACCAAUAUCCCUUUAAACACCAAAUUAUGGACUAUUAGGCCACUGCUUCAAGGCUUCUACAAAUGUGAAACCUUGACAAAUUCCCAAAUAAAAGCCAUAAAACCAA